AGACCCGAAACCCGGUGAUCUAGCCAUGGGCAGGUUGAAGGUUGGGUAACACUAACUGGAGGACCGAACCGACUAAUGUUGAAAAAUUAGCGGAUGACCUGUGGCUGGGGGUGAAAGGCCAAUCAAACCGGGAGAUAGCUGGUUCUCCCCGAAAGCUAUUUAGGUAGCGCCUCGUGAAUUCAUCUCCGGGGGUAGAGCACUGUUUCGGCUAGGGGGCCAUCCCGGCUUACCAACCCGAUGCAAACUGCGAAUACCGGAGAAUGUUAUCACGGGAGACACACGGCGGGUGCUAACGUCCGUCGUGAAGAGGGAAACAACCCAGACCGCCAGCUAAGGUCCCAAAGUCAUGGUUAAGUGGGAAACGAUGUGGGAAGGCCCAGACAGCCAGGAUGUUGGCUUAGAAGCAGCCAUCAUUUAAAGAAAGCGUAAUAGCUCACUGGUCGAGUCGGCCUGCGCGGAAGAUGUAACGGGGCUAAACCAUGCACCGAAGCUGCGGCAGCGAACGUAUCACCCAAGACAACUUUACGGAGUUGACGAUUGACGGAGCGAAGCGACGUCAAAGCGUUCAUUAAAGUCGAGUUGGCUUAGGGAUACGUUCGUUGGGUAGGGGAGCGUUCUGUAAGCCUGUGAAGGUGUGUCGUGAGGCAUGCUGGAGGUAUCAGAAGUGCGAAUG
This 673-nucleotide ribosomal RNA is filed under the name Salmonella enterica. RNAcentral describes it as "partial 23S ribosomal RNA". It matches the Rfam family "Bacterial large subunit ribosomal RNA", at positions 711 to 1296 of the family's 2925-position model. RNAcentral also lists the same sequence under 2 other names. The record is from RNAcentral. Lineage: Bacteria; Pseudomonadati; Pseudomonadota; Gammaproteobacteria; Enterobacterales; Enterobacteriaceae.